RNAcentral lists this long non-coding RNA (910 nucleotides) under Theobroma cacao (cacao). RNAcentral describes it as "long non-coding RNA (TCAC_LNC004080)". The record is from RNAcentral. Lineage: Eukaryota; Viridiplantae; Streptophyta; Magnoliopsida; Malvales; Malvaceae.
UCUAAUAAAGUUUUGAUAUGUUUUUAAUAUAGCAACUGCUGGUAGAAAAAAAGGACAUGCACAUACAGAACUAUCACUACCCAGAAUCGAAACUGUAUGAGAGGAACAGCUUUCAUUAGGAAGCAAAGCCAUGAAUGGCAACACAUGAUGUCAAGUUCAAAACCAGAGAGAUAUCAGCUGGCAAGUACAUGAUUCGCGUCUCUGAUGGGGCAAAGGAUAGAUACAUGUGGAAUCUCUUCUUAAAAAUGAUUUAUCGCACUAUUAUCAUUAUCUAAGGUGCAUCAGAUGAGCAAAUGCUGUUCCUUUUCAUUGAAUUAUUGCUUGCGUUUAAUGGUUUGUAUUUCAUUAAUUUUUCUAGAGACCAUUGACAAUCAUAUAUAUAGUUAUAGUUGAAUUUGCUUGGAAAGUAGAGUGACGAAAGGCAAUUCCAAAGCGUACAGUUGCUCAGAGGUUGCGGGACUCGUAUUCAUCUUGCUAUACAAGAUAAUAAUUGCAGUCAGAUUUGAAUUAGGGGCCCGAGAUUGAUACAUAUACUACCAGCUAGGUCCCAAGAGACCAAAACUCCUUGAAAUUGACUGCAGAUUAACCUCUGGCCACUUAAAGAAACUUCAUACCUGACAAAACAAAGGUCAAGUCUCAAUUAGUUAUCUUUUGAUCAAUUCCUCAUUUUCCAUUUGCCUUGUCCCGCUCAUUGAUUGAAGCUAUCAUACUCAGUAAUGAGACAAAUGACUGGAUGCAGCUAUGAAAAGAAGGCAAUAGGUAGAGGGCAGCGUUUUCAGAUAUUCAAGGGCAACCUGGAAUUCGUUAAUAACUCAACAAGAGGAAGAAACCAAACGUAUACGCUGAGCACUAACGAAUCAGGAAAGAAUACCUACCGUUACAUAUGCAUGAUAAAAUCAGGAUAGAGAGG